This 492-nucleotide ribosomal RNA is filed under the name uncultured bacterium. RNAcentral's name for it is "bacterial SSU rRNA". It matches the Rfam family "Bacterial small subunit ribosomal RNA", at positions 903 to 1397 of the family's 1533-position model. The record is from RNAcentral.
AAAUGAAUUGACGGGGGCCCGCACAAGCAGUGGAGUAUGUGGUUUAAUUCGAAGCAACGCGAAGAACCUUACCAGGUCUUGACAUCCUACUAACGAAGCAGAAAUGCAUUAGGUGCCCUUCGGGGAAAGUAGAGACAGGUGGUGCAUGGUUGUCGUCAGCUCGUGUCGUGAGAUGUUGGGUUAAGUCCCGCAACGAGCGCAACCCUUAUGGUUAGUUGCUACGCGAGAGCACUCUAGCCAGACUGCCGUUGACAAAACGGAGGAAGGUGGGGACGACGUCAAAUCAUCAUGCCCUUUAUGAUCUGGGCUACACACGUACUACAAUGGCGGUCAUACAAAGCGAGGCAAAGCAGUGAUGCGGAGCAAAUCGCAAAAAGCCGUCUCAGUUCGGAUCGCAGGCUGCAACCCGCCUGCGUGAAGUCGGAAUUGCUAGUAAUCGCGGAUCAGCAUGCCGCGGUGAAUACGUUCCCGGGCCUUGCACACACCGCCCGU